Long non-coding RNA from Mustela erminea (ermine), 3215 nucleotides. RefSeq lists it as uncharacterized. The record is from RefSeq and is a predicted model, not a curated record. The transcript is spliced from 7 exons. NCBI's taxonomy places the organism in Eukaryota, Metazoa, Chordata, Mammalia, Carnivora, Mustelidae.
CGUGCAAACGUGUUUUUGUUGUCGUUAUGGUUACAUUUUACCAUUUGUGGAUAUGUCACUAUGGAAGUUACAGUGGAAGAGCUUGUACUUCUAGGCUAAUUUGCUGUUGAUCAGCUGUUGCCAGGUGUGGCUGGACAGGGCUUAGCCGGCUGCUGCUUGCUCUCCAGAAGAACCCCCUUUGGACUGAAGUAGGAAAGCUUGAUGCAGGCUGUUCAGGCUGGAACAGUGUCCCGGUGACUGCAGUCCGACUUCAGCCCGAUUUGACAUUGGGAGAUUCUCCAUAAUUCACUACUUCCCAAAGUACCUGAAAAGACAAUUUACAAAAGAGGAACUUGGCUCAUCGACUGAUACACGGAAAACAGGUCCCCUACACUCCUGCCUAAUAUCACCACCACUUGGUUCCAAUGGCCCAGGAAAAUUCCUCAAGUUCACUACCAGGGCUACAAAUGUGCCAAGGUAAUGGCGACUAUUAAAGGGCUUCCCAUCCCCAUCCCAUCCAUGCCCUGCUCCAAGUCUGCAUCUGGUAAACAUCCUACAGGAGUGCCCCAAGCCCUCCUAAGAGAAGUCUGGGCUGACCCUGAGGCCGGGUAGGCCCCUCCCCUGCCCUUUCCCCUAAAUACCCGCUCCCCCCACCCUCUUCCUUUUGCCAAACCACUUUCCUUCCCCCAGGGUCCUUAUGGGAGGAUCCUUAUCACCUUCCACCCAUUGCCCUGGGAGUUCUCUGAGAGCCCAGACCAUUCCGUAAAGAUCUUUCUUAACCUUGGAAACACUCCUGGAGAAGACAGUCUUCAACUUCCCAAGGGGCCCAGCAAAGCAUCACCUGGAUCCAUGUCUGUGCGUGAGUGGGUGCGGGAUGAUGGCCCGAGAGCAGAUCAGUCGGCAGAGAAUGCUGGUGGCUGAGGGCGGCAAGAGCUAUCGGGAGCUGUAGCACCAAGAACUGCUAGAACCUGGUGGUUACUCAGCAGCCUGUGGCCUGCAUUCUACUUUCCCCCACACAGGCCCCUGAACUGCUUGGGAAGCAAUGCAGCACACAUGGGAGGGAACCACAGGCCCCAAAGCCAGUGAGAGCUGGGGCCCAGAAGGCUGCCUUUGUCCUGGAAGAGGAGCUCCUUCCCCUUUCUCACCUGGCAGAGGAGCCCAGGGUGGUGCUACGAUCCCUGGUCAAACUUCCUAGGGAUUAGAUUUGACCGCCCCCUCACCUCCCCCUUAUCCCCCUCCCAACCAGCAGGAGGACUGUGAACCUCAUUACAGAAUUCAGUCACAUUGAGGUGAGGCAACAGAUGUGUUCUGUUCUCCUCUGAGCUUUUGUGAUAAAAUUUUCUGCACCUUAAGCUAUUUAUUAUGCAUUUUUUUCAAAAUAAAAGUAGAGGGGAUAGUAUAAAGAGUCCCAUUUACCCAUCAUCUAGAUUUAACCAUUAACAUCUCACCAUAUGCUAUAGUCUGAGUGAUUAUGGGCCCCCCGUCAAUUCAUAGGUUGAAAACUGACCCUGAACAUGAUAUUAGGAGGUGGGACCUUUGGGAGGUGAUUAAGUUAUGAGGAUGGGGCCCUCAUAAAUGGGUAAGCGCCCUUAUAAAAGAGAUCCAAGUGAGCUCUCUCACCCUGUCUGCCACCAGAGGUCACAGUGAGAAGACACAAUCUGCGAACCAGGUGGCAGGCACUCAUUAAAUACCAGAUCCGCCGGCACCCUGACCUUGUAUUUCCAGCCUCCAGGACAUCGAGAAGUAGAUUUUGUUGUUCAUAACCAGACUACAUUAUUCUGUUAUAGGAGACCGAGUGGACUAAGACACCGUAUUUGCUUCAUGAGGCUUUUUUUCUUCAGUAUUUUAAAAUAAAUCAUAGACAUCGUAUUUCACCCCCAAAUAGUUCGGUAUGUACUUUUUGAAAGAUGAGGGUGUUGUCUUAUAUAACCACAACACCAUUAUCACAAUAUCAAAAUUAAUAAUAAAUUCCUAAAUAUUUUCUGAUGCCCAGUCCAAACUCAAAUUUCCUUGAUCUAUGCCAAGAUAUCUUCUAUAGUUGGUACGUUUGAAUCGGGAUCCAAACAAGGUCCACACAUUGCAUAUGGCUGUUAUGUGUCUAGCUGCUUUAAUGUAAGAGAAUCACUUUGAAGUAUUCACCAGUGGGUGGUUCUCACCCGCCCCUCUGUCCUGGGCUUCAGCGAAUCUCUCCAGGUAUACCCCGAGGGCCCUUCCCAGCAGUCCAGGCCACCAGACCUGGACUGACUGGGGUCUGGACGAGGCAGCCUUGGCAUGCAACCAGAAACACGCGGUUUCAAAAUUUCAGCUAUGAAGCAUGACAUUUGGAAAAAUGUACGAUGAAAUUUCUGUGCCCUGGCUCCGGACAAGAUACAGCUUCUUCCUGGAGGAGGGAGAGAGAAGAGGGAUGCCAGGGUAGAAGCGGAACUGAGAGGGAGAGCACUCCACGGGUCAUGGGCCCGGGCAAAGGGGCUCUAUCUGUCCUUUGUGCCGAGGAGCUGGGCAGCUGGCCACCUCGGGGUCCUCAGCUGAGCACUGCCCUUGAUAGUUCCUUUUGCUUGUUCGGUGGGAGGGACACCCAUCUCUUCCAGGGGAGCUUUGCAGCCAAAGGGCCACAGCACAGGGAUGCUCCCUGCUUGGGGAGGGGGACCCCGGCUACCUAGAGGGUUGGUGGUGCUGGGAAGGGGGCCUCUCCCAUCCCCCCUCCACCCCAGCAGGCCAGCACCGUGGUAAGGGCGUCCAGUGAGCAGGGCCAGGUGACACGCACCCUCUCCGUCUCUGUAGGGCUGCCUGGUCAACGGCAUCCUUGCGUGCUCCCUCUGAGAGUUCAGCCAUAUGCUAGGUUGAUUUCUUCCAAAUCUGAAACUUUGAUCAAAGAGUAGCAUUUCUUAUGUGGGGGGAGAGUGCCUGAAGCCUGAGCUUUGUCCCCCAGCACUAUAUUCCAGCUUCAACUAUGCCCUAAACCCCUUGGACCAGAACCGUGUUUGUGAACCCCUAGAGAAGCGGCCCCCGGAGACCCUGGAGCCAGAGUGGAGAGGGUGUGAGCCAACACCCAGAUGACAGCUGUUCUCUUGGCCUUCCGGAGUCCUGGCUGCCUUCUGUCUGCGCCUGUGUGAAAACUGGCUCCUGAGGGAAUACUCAUCUUCUUUGAUGACCAGGAAUCCGCCUCCACCUUCACUGGGGAGCCCCGUGAAAGCCUCAGAAAAUAUCUUCUGUGUGUCGAAUGAUGAGCAAGGACC